UUGCUGAUUGUCACUUUGCAUCAUUCUAGGGCCUGCUCUUCAGCAGGAAGACACUUCUGUGGAUGCUGCAGAGGACGAGGAAGCUGUGGGACUGCAGCAAGCCAGGCCUGCUCUUCAGCAGGAAGACACUUCCAUGAAUGCU
Long non-coding RNA from Sapajus apella (tufted capuchin), 142 nucleotides. RefSeq lists it as uncharacterized. The transcript has 3 exons. The record is from RefSeq and is a predicted model, not a curated record. Lineage: Eukaryota; Metazoa; Chordata; Mammalia; Primates; Cebidae.